Xiphophorus maculatus (southern platyfish) is the source of this 986-nucleotide long non-coding RNA. RefSeq lists it as uncharacterized. Lineage: Eukaryota; Metazoa; Chordata; Actinopteri; Cyprinodontiformes; Poeciliidae. The record is from RefSeq and is a predicted model, not a curated record. The transcript has 3 exons.
UAUUUUUUUCAGUGUAAAAUUUGAUUUAUAUUGUAAUAGUUUAUGACUUGAAAAUUAUACUGACCAUUAAAGAUGUAUAUAAACACUUAUAUAUUAAAUGUUUGACUGAAAUAGUGAAGAACUGUAUGUCAUAAUCCUACAGUAUCAGUAUUCUGACUUCGAGAUCAUGAACAUACUGUAAUCUGCUCAAAUGACAAGCUGGUAUGUUUGUCAAAAAUUAUUAUUUGCUAAGCUGUUUAAAACAUUUUGAAAAGGAGGAAGAAUUAAGAAUAACAUUUCCUUCCAGAACCCUUUUGUCAUCCUGGGUACCAUGGGUUUGCUCAGAAUUUUUUUUGACUUAUUUUUUUUUAACUGUGGUCAUGCAAGUUCAUGAAAGUCAUGUUGUCUUUCUGGCUCAUCUAUUUCCUGUUCAUAGCUGGCUGUUUGUCUGCACCUGCACUAAACAGCAGGUCUAAAAGAAGCACACAGGAGCUACAGCUGCUCUUUGAUCCUGAUUUGCUUAGGAAGCAAAUCAGCCUUACAGAUGAUUAUGGUGAAAAACCCGUCACACCUGUUUUACCUGACUUUGAAACUCCCUUUUGGCAUGACUCAGAGGAUUAAGACCACUUGGAGUAAAACAUACAAUAAGAAUUAAACUUAUUGUGUCAUGCAUAUUUUGAACAAAAUUACUUUCUUUUGUCAGUGAAGUCAGUUAUUGCUCACAUUUGAAACAACGUAAUUUACUUAAUUUAUUUAGUUACUUCCCAGAAUUUGUAGAAAUGAAGUCAUUGUUUAGAAAGCAAACGUUGUCUGUUUUGUUAACCGACAUUGAAUGACAUUGAAAUAGAAACUGAAAGAGGCUUACUCCUCAUCAUUACCUCUCUACACUGCAAAAACACACAAUCUUACCAAGUACUUUUGUCUAGUUUCUAACACAAAUGCCUUAGUACACUUAAAUUAAGACACAACUGACUCAAAAGUAACUUAUUAGCAAGAUAUAAAAUCUU